RNAcentral lists this ribosomal RNA (300 nucleotides) under uncultured archaeon. RNAcentral's name for it is "bacterial SSU rRNA". It matches the Rfam family "Bacterial small subunit ribosomal RNA", at positions 496 to 795 of the family's 1533-position model. The record is from RNAcentral.
GCAAAAUGGGGGCAGGCGACCGCGGUAAUGCAGGGGGUGGGGGGGUUAAUCGGAGUUGUUGGGCGGAAAGUGGGCGGAAGUUGGUAAAUAAUUCAAAUGUGAAAUCCCCGAGCGUAACUGGGGAAUUGCAUUCGAUACUGGUUGGCUAGAGUAUGGGAGAGGAUGGUAGAAUUCCAGGUGUAGCGGUGAAAUGCGUAGAGAUCUGGAGGAAUACCGAUGGCGAAGGCAGCCAUCUGGCCUAAUACUGACACUGAGGUGCGAAAGCAUGGGGAGCAAACAGGAUUAGAUAACCCUGUAGUC